Molecule: long non-coding RNA, 310 nt
Organism: Melanotaenia boesemani (Boeseman's rainbowfish)
Lineage: Eukaryota; Metazoa; Chordata; Actinopteri; Atheriniformes; Melanotaeniidae
Exons: 3
Source: RefSeq, a predicted model, not a curated record
UAUUUAACUUGACUCUAACUUGUCCUGCUCUGUAUCCUGACACCUGAAGACUGCUGGAAGCCAUAAGGUGGAUGGGAUAGGCACUCGCGGUUGGGGAUCCCCACUUUAUACAUGGUUUGGCACAUUGGGUUCAUGAUUGCUCCACGUUUUAAGUUUGCAGUGAGCAAGCCUCUCAAGACCCUACAUGUGUGUGUGAGAGAGCGGAGAAGGAGAGGGGGCUGGGAAUAUAAGUCCAGAGGGAAGUGAACUUCCUUCCAGAAGGUGAACUCCUGGCACCCCCAUUCCCCGGGAUGCCCCCCAGGGCAAGACA